This 440-nucleotide long non-coding RNA is filed under the name Gallus gallus (chicken). Its description in RNAcentral is "long non-coding RNA NONGGAT004513". The record is from RNAcentral. Lineage: Eukaryota; Metazoa; Chordata; Aves; Galliformes; Phasianidae.
GUUCCUCCAGGCAAAGCGCCAGAGGAAGAGGAGCAGCAUGGAGAGAUGCCUCGGAGGCAGGGAUGCUGCUGCUCUGGUUGGGAUUAGCAUCUGUGUGGCGGUCUGCAGGAGGAUGGUUUGUGUCUCAGCUGCAGCACUUAUUGGAGAUGACGGGACAGAAGCUGCUGGGUCCCCGCUGACCUCCCCACCAGUGGCAGUGAUGUGCUGCAGCACAACAUGACCCAGGCAAAGGGUUUCACCAUGCUGUGAUGGAAGCUCUCUGCUCACUCUGCUCCACACAGGCUGACUUUUUGCACCACGCACCGCCAGCAGCAGCCCGCCUGCCCCAACACGACUUUGCAACUGUCCCUGCCUCUGCUGAAGUCUUCAGUAUACACUGAUGCACAACCUGCUAUAAGUAAGUCCUUGAAGCCCAAAUUUUCCAAAACGGAAACCAUUUC